Molecule: non-coding RNA, 83 nt
Organism: Podarcis lilfordi (Lilford's wall lizard)
Lineage: Eukaryota; Metazoa; Chordata; Lepidosauria; Squamata; Lacertidae
Source: the annotation of a GenBank genome assembly
UCUCUCUCUCUCUCUCUCUCUCUCUCACACACACACACACACACAGUGAGAGUGAGAGAGAGAGAGAGAGAGAGAGAGAGAGA